Transfer RNA from Felis catus (domestic cat), 85 nucleotides. It matches the Rfam family "tRNA". Rfam says of the family: Transfer RNA (tRNA) molecules are approximately 80 nucleotides in length. Their secondary structure includes four short double-helical elements and three loops (D, anti-codon, and T loops). The record is from Rfam. Lineage: Eukaryota; Metazoa; Chordata; Mammalia; Carnivora; Felidae.
GCCUGGGUCGCUCAGUUGGUUGAGCAUCCGACUCUGGCUCAGGUCAUGGUCUCACAGUUUGUGGGUUUGAGACCCACAUCAGGCU